AAGAUAGAACAAUCAGUACAGUUUUAUUGUUCUAUGCAAUGCCAUUUGUAAAAUAUACACUAUUAUAGGAGACGGCUUGGUAACCCCAAGAGAAGUUCCGUGACGGAGAAGGACGCAAGAUUCAACAAGUAGGACGCAUAAUCCUCCUAAUAUGAUUUUAUAUGUCAAGUGUAGUUUGUAACCAGCUGAUCUAGCUCAGCUUUAAAUAAAUAGAACCUGAAGUGCAUGGAAGAUCUCCCUGCAUAAAUAUUUAUACUAUGCUCCACGGAUCGUGUUUAUUCUAAAUCCGACACAGAUCGCUAGGUGUGAGUGAUCCUGAUCUCUAUAGGUUGUUGUACAUAAAAUGAUCCUACUACUACCUUGAAUUAUAAAAAGAACAAUUACUCUGAGGUUCAAUAAAUCUUUAGCACGUCCCUGAGACAUGUGCAACACAUUAAGUGAGAGAUAAGAGUUAAAUGAAAAUACAUUAACAAACUAAGGGUGCAAAUCCACAAGUCCCACAUCAUUUAUAGGCGAAAUAACACUAAACAUAUUUGAAAGUUAAAGUGAAGUAAAAAGUUCCCUUGGGUCAGAAGUUGCAAAACUUAUAUUUCAUUAUGUGACAUAAGAUAUUUUAGGGAUUGGAAUUAAAAACAAGAGUUUAGAAUAAAACCCUAAAAAAAAG
Molecule: long non-coding RNA, 664 nt
Organism: Eurytemora carolleeae
Lineage: Eukaryota; Metazoa; Arthropoda; Copepoda; Calanoida; Temoridae
Exons: 4
Source: RefSeq, a predicted model, not a curated record